UACGUAGGCAGCAAGCGUUGUUCGGAUUUACUGGGCGUAAAGAGUGCGUAGGCGGUCUUUUAAGUUUGGUGUGAAAUCUCCCGGCUCAACUGGGAGGGUGCGCCGAAAACUGGGAGGCUUGAGGAUGGGAGAGGCAUGCGGAAUUCCUGGUGUAGCGGUGAAAUGCGUAGAUAUCAGGAGGAACACCUGCGGUGUAGACAGCAUGCUGGACCAUUUCUGACGCUGAGGCACGAAAGCGUGGGUAGCAAACAGG
Molecule: ribosomal RNA, 253 nt
Filed under: uncultured bacterium
Lineage: Bacteria
Description: partial 16S ribosomal RNA
Rfam family: Bacterial small subunit ribosomal RNA
Source: RNAcentral